UUCGGGGUUUGGUGUGGUGGCCCUAUCUCUCGUCUGUCUUUUACAGUCGCACGCGUUGAUGGAUGGGAGUAGGGUGAACGCAUGAAGAUAAAGUUUGGCGGCCCAAUGACGCGGCGACGCGUCAACUAUGUGACCCUCUCGAUCCCCUCUGAGCUGGACAGGCACGUGAUGGGUCACGUGACAUAUAGGGGCUACCAUCUCCUCUUUCAGAAUUCAAAAACGGAAAAUAUAGCUCUAUGACAAUGAGAGACGAGAGACAGACGACUCCUGAACUCGACGGACAGCUUCUCAACUCCCAACUUCGACGGCCGACUCCCUUAGUUCCUCCCUUUCACUCCGACGUCCUUGACUUCGACGCCUGGCUCUCGACUCUCUCUCUCCCUCUCUUUCCAUCUCAUUCGAAGGACGGACUCCUCCUCUUCACGCCGACGACAGGUCCUUCUGACGCCCUACUCUGUCCUCCCGAGUCCCGACUCCCUCUAUUUCCAUCCCAUUGACGACGAGAUGUCAAGUUCAAUUGUCAACGGCAGUAGCUCAGAUCGGUUAACGUACUUGAACAAAAAUUGUCCUACAUGUAAUAAAAAUGCCACGAUUCGAAUUUCUAAGACCGAUCGAAACAAAAACAAGCUAUUAUACUCUUGUAAUUGUUGUGGUACUUUCGUUGGAUGGUGUGUGCCUAUGAAUUCACAAUGUGGAGAUCAAGAAAUUCCAAGACAAGUAGAAAGAAAACUGCUAAGAUCUAUGACGGAACAACUUGGAGCUAUGAUCGAACAACAAAGAUCUAUGACGGAACAAUUUACCUUCGUUAGUGCAAAGAUGCAAAAAAUAGAAUUUCUGAUGUUUAUGUUGCUUGUAAUUGGUGUGUUAUUACUUAUGAAGAUGU
Molecule: non-coding RNA, 883 nt
Organism: Camellia sinensis
Lineage: Eukaryota; Viridiplantae; Streptophyta; Magnoliopsida; Ericales; Theaceae
Source: RefSeq, a predicted model, not a curated record